ACUCCUACGGGAGGCAGCAGUUGGGAAUCUUGGACAAUGGAGGAAACUCUGAUCCAGCCAUGCCGCGUGAGUGAUGAAGGCCUUCGGGUUGUAAAACUCUUUCGACGGGGACGAUAAUGACGGUACCCGUAGAAGAAGCUCCGGCUAACUUCGUGCCAGCAGCCGCGGUAAUACGAAGGGGGCUAGCGUUGUUCGGAAUUACUGGGCGUAAAGCGCGCGCAGGCGGCCAUCCAAGUCAGGGGUGAAAGCCCGGAGCUCAACUCCGGAACUGCCUUUGAAACUGUUUGGCUUGAGUACGGGAGAGGUGAGUGGAAUUCCCAGUGUAGAGGUGAAAUUCGUAGAUAUUGGGAAGAACACCGGUGGCGAAGGCGGCUCACUGGCCCGUUUCUGACGCUCAUGCGCGACAGCGUGGGGAUCAAACAGGAUUAGAUACCCUGGUAGUCCACGCCGUAAACGAUGGAUGCUAGCCGUUGGCGAGCUUGCUCGUCAGUGGCGCAGCUAACGCAUUAAGCAUCCCGCCUGGGGAGUACGGCCGCAAGGUUGAAACUCAAAGGAAUUGACGG
This 563-nucleotide ribosomal RNA is filed under the name uncultured Rhizomicrobium sp. RNAcentral describes it as "bacterial SSU rRNA". It matches the Rfam family "Bacterial small subunit ribosomal RNA", at positions 335 to 916 of the family's 1533-position model. The record is from RNAcentral. Lineage: Bacteria; Pseudomonadati; Pseudomonadota; Alphaproteobacteria; Micropepsales; Micropepsaceae.